AGUGAACGCUGGCGGUAGGCCUAACACAUGCAAGUCGAACGGCAGCACAGUAAGAGCUUGCUCUUACGGGUGGCGAGUGGCGGACGGGUGAGGAAUACAUCGGAAUCUACUUUUUCGUGGGGGAUAACGUAGGGAAACUUACGCUAAUACCGCAUACGACCUACGGGUGAAAGCAGGGGAUCUUCGGACCUUGCGCGAUUGAAUGAGCCGAUGUCGGAUAGCCAAUUGGGGGGGUAAAGGCCCACCAAGGGGACGAUCCGUAGCUGGUCUGAGAGGAUGAUCAGCCAAAAGGGAACUGAGAAACGGUCCAGACUCCUACGGGAGGCAGCAGGGGGGAAUAUUGGACAAUGGGCGCAAGCCUGAUCCAGCCUAACCGCGUGGGUGAAGAAGGCCUUCGGGUUGUAAAGCCCUUUUGUUGGGAAAGAAAAGCAGCAGGUUAAUACCCCGCUGUUCGGAAGGGACCCAAAGAAGAAGAACCGGCGAAAUUAGU
Molecule: ribosomal RNA, 490 nt
Filed under: uncultured bacterium
Lineage: Bacteria
Description: partial 16S ribosomal RNA
Rfam family: Bacterial small subunit ribosomal RNA
Source: RNAcentral